Cynoglossus semilaevis (tongue sole) is the source of this 468-nucleotide long non-coding RNA. RefSeq lists it as uncharacterized. Lineage: Eukaryota; Metazoa; Chordata; Actinopteri; Pleuronectiformes; Cynoglossidae. The transcript is spliced from 3 exons. The record is from RefSeq and is a predicted model, not a curated record.
GAGGCGAUGUCGCUCUUCAGCAGCGUUCCUGGCAGAACCGACUCAGAGACCACUAUCUGGAUGGGGUCUUCAGUGAAAUGUGGAGCUUCGUUCUCAUUCACCACCGUCACCACCACUGUAGCCGAGCUCACUGGCAGGGACUGCUUCUAUAUGUGCACUACAUGUCCCUGACAUAUGCUGGGAAUAGCAGAAAGACAUGUGCAGGAUGUUUGCUUCAACAUUACAUCAGGAGUCAUCUGGAGUGAAACAUCCUGAAGUGUCUCCCCAGACGCCUAUAAAGGCCCCAGGAGACUGACCUCUGGCUGUUGGUUCUAGCGUCUCAAACAGAUCGGCUGCUUGCUCCUGAUCACUCCCGUCUUAUCAUCAAUCUCAAACAGGUUCUUCGGUUCCUGGUCCACACCUGGCCCUUCCAACUUGUAGAUCACCUCACCUGUAAAGAUUUUGUCCGAUUUGAUCUGGACAGAAACG